CCUACGGGAGGCAGCAGUGGGGAAUUUUGGACAAUGGGCGCAAGCCUGAUCCAGCAAUGCCGCGUGAGUGAAGAAGGCCUUCGGGUUGUAAAGCUCUUUUGUCAGGGAAGAAACGGUGGGGGCUAAUAUCCCUCGCUAAUGACGGUACCUGAAGAAUAAGCACCGGCUAACUACGUGCCAGCAGCCGCGGUAAUACGUAGGGUGCAAGCGUUAAUCGGAAUUACUGGGCGUAAAGCGUGCGCAGGCGGUUUUGUAAGUCUGCCGUGAAAGCCCCGGGCUCAACCUGGGAAUUGCGAUGGAGACUGCAAGGCUUGAAUCUGGCAGAGGGGGGUAGAAUUCCACGUGUAGCAGUGAAAUGCGUAGAGAUGUGGAGGAACACCGAUGGCGAAGGCAGCCCCCUGGGUCAAGAUUGACGCUCAUGCACGAAAGCGUGGGGAGCAAACAGGAUUAGAUACCCUGGUAGUCCACGCCCUAAACGAUGUCUACUAGUUGUCGGGUUUUAAUUAACUUGGUAACGCAGCUAACGCGUGAAGUAGACCGCCUGGGGAGUACGGUCGCAAGAUUAAAACUAGAAAGUAGUAGACGNGUGAGUGCGACGAGACACGACGGAGGGUUAG
This 617-nucleotide ribosomal RNA is filed under the name uncultured bacterium. Its description in RNAcentral is "bacterial SSU rRNA". It matches the Rfam family "Bacterial small subunit ribosomal RNA", at positions 338 to 949 of the family's 1533-position model. The record is from RNAcentral.